CUAUCUCGCAACAAUUAAAGAUUUAAUGGAACUCCUCUAAAGAACCCACAAAGAAUAGCAACAGAACGAAGUAAGAACGAUCUCAAAAGAUGAACAAAAGCCACAGAAAAAUAAGAACACUUGAGAGAAAAGUUUGAGUGAAUGCUCUCAAAAUUCUAUUAAUUACUGAAUUAAUACAAUAAGGGGGAGAGGCCUCUAUUUAUAGUUGAGCCUUCCCAAUAUCAAUGGUACAAAUCGAAAUACAUUAAUGGCUAAGAUUUAAAGCUAUCAAGAUAUCAAAUCUCUAAGAUUACAGAAUCGUAUCUUUUAAAGAUUAUAUUAAAGUCUAGGAUCGCAUAUCUUUGAAGAUCCCCUUCCAUAUUUUCCAAGCAUAUCUUUGAAGAUUACUUUCCAUAUUUGCCAAGCUCCAGAGAUGGGCUUUCAAUCUCUCCAAGCACUGGACCAAUCAGAUUGGGCCAAAUGACCUCCCCCAAAAGCGAUAAAUCGCACAAGUUUGUCAUGGUUGCAAGUUUCCCUUUGCAACCCAUGACACUAGUAGCUUGUUCCCUCUGAAUUUUCCCUCAGGACAGCUGGAGCCCUUAGCGAGUUCUAUAGGGUAAAGCUAAUGAUUAGAGGCAUCGGGGGCGCAACGCCCUCAACCUAUUCUCAAACUUUAAAUAGGUAGGACGGUGUGACUUCUUCGUUUAGCUGCGCCACGAAAUCGAGAGCUCCAAGUGGGCCAUUUUUGGUCAGAAAAACUGGCGAUGCAGGAUGAACUGGAAGCCAGGUUACGGUGCCCAACUGCGUGCUAACCUAGAGCUUACAAAGGGUGUUGGUCGAUUAAGACAGCAAGAGGGUGGUCAUGGAAGUCGAAAUCCGCUAAGGAGUGUGAAACAACUCACCUACCGAAUCAACUAGCCCUGAAAAUGGAUGGCACUUAAGUGCGUGACCUAUGCUCGGCCGUCGGGGCAAGGGCCAGGCCUCGAUGAGUAGGAGGGCACGAUGGUCGCCACAAAACCCAGGGAGCGAGCCAGGGCGGAGUGGCCGUCGGUGCAGAUCUUGGUGGUAGUAGCAAAUAUUCAAAUGAGAACCUUGAAGGCUGAAGAGGGGAAAGGUUCCAUGUGAAUGACACUUGCACAUGGGUUAGUCGAUCCCAAGAGACGGGGGAAACUCGUCCAAUAGCGCAUUCAGCGCGAGCAUCGAAAUGGAAUUGGGUUAAAAUUUCUGAACCGGGACGCGGUGGCUGACUGCAACGUUAGGGAGUCUAAAGACGUCAGCAGGGGCCUCAGGAAGAGUUAUCUUUUCUGUUUAACGGCCUUCCCAUGCUGGAAAUGGCUCAGCCGGAGGUAGGGUUCAGCAGUCGGAAGAGCACCGUACAUCGCGUGGUGUCCGGUGCAUCCCUGGCGGCCCUUGAAAAUCUGAAGGACCGAGUGCCGUCCACGCCCGGUCGUACUCAUAACCGCAUCAGGUCUCCAAGAUGAACAGCCUUUGGUCAAUGGAACAAUGUAAGCAAGGAAAGUCGGCAAAAUGGAUCUGUAACCUCGGAAAAAGGAUUGGCUCUGAGGGCUGGGCACGGGGGUCCCAGUCCCAAACCCGUCGGCUGCUGAUGCACUGCUCGAGCUACUUUCGCGACGAGAGCGGGUCACCGAUGGCUGGCCGGGGGACGAACUGGGAAUGGCUCCCUCAGGGGCCUUCCCCGGGCGACGAACAGUCGACUCAGAACUGGUACUGACAAAGGGAAUCUGACUUUUUAAUUAAAACAAAGCAUUGUGAUGGUCCCUGCGGAUGCUCACGCAAUGUGAUUUCUGCCCAGUGCUCUGAAUGUCAAAGUGAAGAAAUUCAACCAAAUUUUCGCACAUUCAUAUUCACAUAUUUUAGACCAUAAAUAUCACAUUCAAAUAAUUUGGUGACUCGGUUUAGAGGUCCCGAAACCGCUUUCCGACUAGGGUCACUAUAGGGCUGUCACAUUCACCAUCAUGCAAUGCCACUUCCAAAUCUUCAACCUUACUUUUUAGCUCCUUUAACUCGACCGUAGGAUCAUGGUUUUGAUGCCAACGAAGGGAUCUUCCAAGCUCAGUUACCUUAGUCUUCAACCCUUAAUUCUCUUUCUCUCAUGCCAAAUUCUGCAACCGCAUCUCUUGGAACUUCCUCUCCCAAUACUUGGGUCAACCACUCACUUUAAAGAUACUUGUGUCUUCUUAUACUCUUCUUUUAAAUCAUCUCGGUCUUCCUCAACCUUUCUUUUUUCCUUCCUAACUUUUUCAACCUCCUUCUUUUGCAGGUAAACAUCUAGACUAAGGUACAUCUUCUCCUCCUCAAGCUUUUCUAUCUUCUUUUCGAGUUCCAAAUUCUUUCUCUUAAAUUCUUGCUUUAUGAUAUUAAGCUCCGAGGGUAUCACUUGCAAAUAUUCCUCCAUUGGUUGAGCUUCCUCCAUUUUUUUCAUAUAGACAUUAUCGUUAAUCCUUCUACUCCUCCACUCGACAUAUUCUGGGGUCGUAGCAGGAUUAAUGGCCACUCCUUUCAAUCAACAAGUCUUGUUCCAAGCACUAGAAACCUCGCUAACCUUCCU
Non-coding RNA from Gossypium arboreum, 2548 nucleotides. NCBI's taxonomy places the organism in Eukaryota, Viridiplantae, Streptophyta, Magnoliopsida, Malvales, Malvaceae. The record is from Rfam.